AGAGUUUGAUCCUGGCUCAGGAUGAACGCUGGCGGCGUGCCUAAUACAUGCAAGUCGAGCGAACGGACGAGAAGCUUGCUUCUCUGAUGUUAGCGGCGGACGGGUGAGUAACACGUGGAUAACCUACCUAUAAGACUGGGAUAACUUCGGGAAACCGGAGCUAAUACCGGAUAAUAUUUUGAACCGCAUGGUUCAAAAGUAAAAGACGGUCUUGCUGUCACUUAUAGAUGGAUCCGCGCUGCAUUAGCUAGUUGGUAAGGUAACGGCUUACCAAGGCAACGAUGCAUAGCCGACCUGAGAGGGUGAUCGGCCACACUGGAACUGAGACACGGUCCAGACUCCUACGGGAGGCAGCAGUAGGGAAUCUUCCGCAAUGGGCGAAAGCCUGACGGAGCAACGCCGCGUGAGUGAUGAAGGUCUUCGGAUCGUAAAACUCUGUUAUUAGGGAAGAACAUAUGUGUAAGUAACUGUGCACAUCUUGACGGUACCUAAUCAGAAAGCCACGGCUAACUACGUGCCAGCAGCCGCGGUAAUACGUAGGUGGCAAGCGUUAUCCGGAAUUAUUGGGCGUAAAGCGCGCGUAGGCGGUUUUUUAAGUCUGAUGUGAAAGCCCACGGCUCAACCGUGGAGGGUCAUUGGAAACUGGAAAACUUGAGUGCAGAAGAGGAAAGUGGAAUUCCAUGUGUAGCGGUGAAAUGCGCAGAGAUAUGGAGGAACACCAGUGGCGAAGGCGACUUUCUGGUCUGUAACUGACGCUGAUGUGCGAAAGCGUGGGGAUCAAACAGGAUUAGAUACCCUGGUAGUCCACGCCGUAAACGAUGAGUGCUAAGUGUUAGGGGGUUUCCGCCCCUUAGUGCUGCAGCUAACGCAUUAAGCACUCCGCCUGGGGAGUACGACCGCAAGGUUGAAACUCAAAGGAAUUGACGGGGACCCGCACAAGC
This 941-nucleotide ribosomal RNA is filed under the name Staphylococcus aureus SMMC6037. Its description in RNAcentral is "bacterial SSU rRNA". It matches the Rfam family "Bacterial small subunit ribosomal RNA", at positions 8 to 930 of the family's 1533-position model. Lineage: Bacteria; Bacillati; Bacillota; Bacilli; Caryophanales; Staphylococcaceae. The record is from RNAcentral.